This 718-nucleotide long non-coding RNA is filed under the name Aedes aegypti (yellow fever mosquito). RNAcentral describes it as "uncharacterized LOC125505932 (LOC125505932)". The record is from RNAcentral. Lineage: Eukaryota; Metazoa; Arthropoda; Insecta; Diptera; Culicidae.
GUUCCGCCAUGAAGAAUACGUAGACCGAUACUAUCGAUGCCUUUCUGGUGUGGCUUACGAGUUCCAGUGUCCCUUUGGAAUAGCCUUCGAUCCCAUCCAAGGACGCUGUCGAUAUGCUUCGGAGGGCGAAAUCAGAUCCUGGCAAGCAAGACAACUGAUGCCAUGCGAAAAAUGUGUGGGUGGAGUGAAGUUCGUCGAACUUGGCGCUUUCUUGCCUCAAUAUUUGCAGUGUGUGUCCGAAGGAAUUGCAGAGCUAAAGACUUGUCCUGUGGGACAGAGCAGAACGAGAUCCGUCCAGCUUUUGUGGAUGUCGGACCACUGCGAAGGUUUCCUAACAACUCGCAGUCAGCGUAUCGAGGAUUACCCAUCAGCUCAUCAUCAUUCUAAAGAUGAAGGUUUGAAGUGCUCAGGUGGAAAACAUCAUCACUCGUUUGGAAAUACUCAUGUGCACGGAGUUUGUCCAUGUGAGAUCUGCAGUAAUCCUGUUACCGUGAAACCUGGUUGUUCUACGACUCCUCCUUGCACUACAUCUACGACAACAAGUAUUCCUCCCAAAACAACCACAACCACUGAAACUGUUACUCCUUCCAAAACCACGCCGAUCAAAGAUUCCACUUCAACGGAUACCACUACUAUUGCACCGACAGAAACUACUAAGAAACCGACAGAUAUUAUUAUAAGUCCAGAUGAUUCUGGUGAAUAUUAUGACGACCAUAUU